UACGGAGGGUGCGAGCGUUGUCCGGAAUCAUUGGGCGUAAAGGGCGCGUAGGUGGCCCGGUCAGUUCGUGGUGAAAGCGCGGGGCUCAACCCUGCGUCGGCCAUGAAUACUGCCGCGGCUGGAGCACUGUAGAGGCAGGCGGAAUUCCGGGUGUAGCGGUGGAAUGCGUAGAGAUCCGGAAGAACACCGGUGGCGAAGGCGGUCUGCUGGGCCAAGACUGACGCUGAGGCGCGACAGCGUGGGGAGCAAACAGG
Molecule: ribosomal RNA, 254 nt
Filed under: uncultured bacterium
Lineage: Bacteria
Description: partial 16S ribosomal RNA
Rfam family: Bacterial small subunit ribosomal RNA
Source: RNAcentral